GGCACAUUUUCAUCCUGCAACCUGAUUGGCUCUUCUCGUUUAUGAUGAAAUAAUAAUGUACUCAAUACAAACAGUCUGUGACUACUUCUUCCUGUUGAUGCCACACCACAUCUUUCUACUCGCCGCUCAAUUCCAGUAAAAUAAACUAUAAUCAAGCCGAACUGAACACGUUUUUGCAAAAGUUAACAGAUUAUUCAAAAAGUUCAAAGUUAUGCAGUUUGCCAUUUUGUAUCGCAUUUUUUUUUUUAAUCAAAGCUUAAAAUUUCAUUACGAAGUAAUCAAUAGCUGUCCGCUUGCCUAGCUAGUGCCUAACCUGCUACCUAGCUAAUGUUAGAAAGUAACCUCCCAAGCAUCAUAUGAUUUAUAUUUCGCAAUAAUAAUAAUAAUUUUUUUUUAAAAAUCCACAAAAAUGAUCAAUAGAGGCAAAUUAAAAAUUUUCGAACUCCGAUGACGUCUCCCCUCUCCUGAUUAGCAACGAUGCGAACGCAAUCAUUCGCGUUAAAGCCACCACGCCGUGCCACACGGUUCGAGCAGAGCGCUCAAAUUAAAUAAUCAUUUUAAAAAAAAACAUACGCUGCAACUUAAGAUUUUCAGUGCAGUACAAAAACUUUUCCACGGUAACUAUUUUGUGCAUUUAAAUGAAUUCUCCUGACAAUACCUAAUGAUAAAAGCUGAAUCGGAUUUUCAGCAGACAUUCUGUUAUUACUACUACGAGCUCUUUUGUUGCUGCAUUCCUGCUCAUUCUCUGAUUCCAGGCCUGGUUUUAACAUUACGUCAUUGCACUUGAACCAGAUUUUCUUCAUUUACCUCAUUUAAUCAUUUUACAAAAGGAGUCCAACUUUUUCACAACACCCCAAACCUUUGGGCAGCCUCCAGCGUAUCUCCUUACACGGGUGAGAAAGUGAUAGACUGACGGGUUGGUUAUUUAUUCAGUUAAGGUCUUAUAGUAUGACAUUCCUGAAACGCCCAGUUUGUGGAAUCAUUUGUUUACAGAAGAUCCUUCUGCACAUGUGAAAGACAUUACCGCCUAACGUUACAAGACUCAGUGUACCUCUCGCUCACUAUGUGAGGAUAUGCACUGCCUCAGAGGCCAUCCUUCCCUCCUGAACAAAGGGGGCCUUUAUGCCCAGUGCCCAAAAGUGCCACCGUGGGAAACGGGGCUGUUUUUCUGCUGUCUCCGUCUUUAUUUAGGCCGGAUCCCAAAUGACUCCCUACUCUCUGUAUCACUGUAUUACAUGGGGGAAGGAAUAAUGGCUUCUGCAUCACCUGGGUCAGUGUUUUCCAUUCUACUUGCCCCGGGGCAGGCUGCCCUAGGUAGUGCACAACAAGAAGGCAUUUGGGAUUCUGCCUAACCCGUCAAGGGCAACACAGGCUAGGUGCUAAGGUGAUCCAGAGAUUAAGGUGGAGACAAAUGGUCGAGGCUGAUGCGCCAAUGCAUGUGCAAGGAGUCGCAAUUAGCGCGCGCGUGUCAGCUUUUCAAGUGCACACACAGCAUGUACAUGCAACAUCCGCAGAGCUUGAAUGACAUGAAGAUGCGCAGUUAUUUUUAGGAACAUGCAAAGUCAUCAAGGUUGCCUCAAUGUGCAAUCGGCUCAUGCUUCGGAUCGAUUCAUAGAGCUAAACACACACGUAACGCAUGAUCCCGCGCGCCCCUCCCGCAUUCCACCAGAUUACACCAUCUUGGCUGCAUCCCAAUUUGCUCCUUUAUAGUAGACUGCAUAAGGAACAGAAGCUAUUUCACAGCGCAUGUUGCGGUUAACUUCUACACUGAGUAAUCAAUCACAGAUUUGGGAUUCGGCCUGUGCGUCCUGAAGGACAGUCGCGUUUGUCUCGUGCACCGAAACUGUCAACGACCUGCAACUCAAAAACAACAACCACCUUCAGAGGUCCAAGUUAAUCCGAACACGCAAGUAGACAUAAGUGCAUUCUGCGCUCGUGCAUCAGAGAUGCAAAAGAUGCACGGUCUUUAAAAAGAGCUACAUCAUAAAGGUAAAAGAAACGGCUAGUUACAGCUACGCGUCUCCACCCUCCCGUACAGAAACGGCUGAUAUGACAUGCGUUUAGCUGGAUUUCGAGUCUUUUCUCCUACCUCCUUGCGGUUUCACCAGAGAUGAUGAAGAUGACGGCGGUAAUGAGGCACGCGGACUUUUUGCUGCAUUGACUCAGCGCUCUCCAGCACUGUACCACGUGACUCCGCGCUGCGCCGUUCAGGGAUGGCCAUCACGAGUCAGUUUUACAGAUUCGAUUCUUUCGAACAAACCCGUCGAAAAGAUUCAAACUGAGACUUCGAACCGUUUGAUUCUUCUGGUGUGAAUCAUCCAAAAAAAAAAAAGUAUUAAUUAAGCAGGCCAGGUACAGAAGUUUAUACCUUAUGAUGUUUUACUCUAGAGAAAAAGUAGUAAGCCUGUACUAAUAUAUACAUAUCUCUCCCCUGAGAUGUAGUAGCCUAUAUCUAUUUACAGCUCCAAAUCUAGUCUAAUUGCCACUUGUGCGUUAUAAACAAAUAUAGUAGUCAAGUUUUCGACCUAAAAGUUAUGCUUAAAAAGGUCAUUACAAACGUGAGAAUCAAAAAUACUUUUCAAACCGAAUUCCUGAGCUUUACACUUUCAAUCUCAGUAGUUCAUCUUGGGUAAUUGUGUCUCAAUAAAACCUUUUUUUUUUAGUCGUCACUGAGGCAUAUCAAGCCAUGCAUAUUUAUAUGAUUAAACUAUUUUACAAUAGUCAAAGUGUUAGUAAACACAACAAAGACUUUACAACUACUUUACAUUUGAGACUCUACAAGUAGGAAAAAGUCAAUCCAAAAACCAACUUAAAAUGUAGCAUAAAUCAUAACAGCAUGGAAAAUGUAAAUAAAUAAAAAACAUUAAAAAAAGAAAAAAAAAGUCAAAUAAAAGAAGCAGAAAACAACCCACAACACGGCUGACUAAAGAUUCGAUUCGGACGACUCGCUUUAAUAAUGAGUAACUUAAAAAGAAUCGAGCAGCUCACGAGUCGCCCAUCACUAGCACGGUUGUAGCUUUGCAGCUGAAAACCCCAUCAAAUGUUUUGUCCUUCUUUUAAAGGAACCAGACUUAAAGCCUGUGCUAAACCAGGUAGCCAGGUUCAAUUAUCUGCUUCAAACCCAAACUAACUUUAAUAAAAAAUCAAUGUCAUGUACCAUAUCCGCAGCUGUGUGCAUAACUGAGCAUGAAGAUUGCUUCAGAAAGUCCACAGAGCUGCAGCUAGGGAGAAGGAAGUGUAAAACUGCAACUUCAUUUCCGCCCACAUUGGUCGUGUUAAACAUCUGUGUCCUCUCUAGGAGACACAGCCUGCUGAGAUUCACACUGUAACACCAACACAACUACUAUAAAACACCACACACACACACACACACACACACACACACACACACACACACACACACACUUACACUUAAAGCGAAGUGCUGGAGAUCAAAACACACUCAGUUCCAAACCACAAACUACUACAGGAACUGAGUAGUAAUCCUAACCCGAGUCUACGUGCGGUUUGGGACGUAGCCCUCAUCCUGCACUUCUCACAGUAGACUGCGAUUAUGAGUUGCAUCCCAGAAGAACUAACAAACCGUAACCACAGGAGCGUUUACAAGCGUGUAACUGUUUUCUUACCUGUUAUACUGUCAUCCAUAGAUAUUUCCUGGUCAGCCAUUGUAUCCACCUUAUCCGUGUAGGAGUAUUUUAUCCUUUAAAAAUCAUGUAAACAACACCGGAGCCCACUUUUCAUGGAGUGUUUGAAAGAAAAGGCCUGCUUGAACUUUUUGCACGCGCCUCGGGGUUUUUUCCCAGAGCAUUCAAAAUGGUUCUGGAGAGAAACCUUGUUUUUGUCGACUUUUUCCUCUCUCUCUCUCUCUUUUUUUUUUGCCUGGAUGUGACACCUUGGAGAAAGGAAGUCUGCACUAGCCGUGACUUUCCGUUUUUUUGGCUCGCGGUCC
Long non-coding RNA from Ictalurus punctatus (channel catfish), 3949 nucleotides. Lineage: Eukaryota; Metazoa; Chordata; Actinopteri; Siluriformes; Ictaluridae. The record is from Ensembl.